Onychostoma macrolepis is the source of this 837-nucleotide long non-coding RNA. RefSeq lists it as uncharacterized. NCBI's taxonomy places the organism in Eukaryota, Metazoa, Chordata, Actinopteri, Cypriniformes, Cyprinidae. The record is from RefSeq and is a predicted model, not a curated record. The transcript has 3 exons.
AACAUUAGCGCUGUGCCUCCCCAUCUUCCUCUUUCUACUCUUCCUGUAACCUCAGAGGUGGAGAAGAAAAUGAAGGAGGAUUAGUAGAACUCUGAAUCAUCCAAAUUACUCUAAAUGACUUCUUCCAGAAGGCACAGCCGAUGUGUGGCAUGUUUAAGAUGACAUUUCAGUCGUAGAGGUAAUUUGCAUUCUAUUUGACUCCGAACGGCACGCCGAUAUUAAGGAUUCCGCUGGCAUUUUUUUGAUUCGCUCAGUUCAAAGAUACACGCUAAGCAGCCGGGCUUAAUCAGGAAGUCCAGUGGUCUUACAGAGGGAGAUGGAGAGUGGACGCACAUGAAGUUCAGAGUUCUGUUCAGAAUCAUCUCGGCUCAAGGCAUUAUGUCCACUGAAGAUACAGGUUGAGCUUCAAGCACGCCGGAAUGCCAGGACCGCCUGACAGAAGGCCGCUGUACUCCCAGCAGUGACUCACUGAAGCAUCCCUGCCAUCCCGCAUUGUAAAGCUCUAGGCCUGGCAUCCUCAACUCCACAGUGAGGCAUUAAAGCUGGGCCUGGGAUUUCGAAGACUUCAGAAGCCACACACAUGCAGAUGUGUAAACGCCUGCCCACUGGCAAGCUCAUGUAGCACGGUUUCAAACGUACAUAAUAAAGUUGAUAUACUAGGCUUAAAAACAAACAAACAAUAAAAAAGGAUAUGUUGUAUACUUUUUAUAUGAGUCCAAUAAUCACAAUUACAGUGAUGUAACUUGGGAAUAAUUGCAUCAAUUAAAAUUUUACAGUUGCGGCAAAGCACUGUUUUCUUAAUAAAAUAUUACACACUGUAACAUUCAUUGUUUACAA